UACGGAGGGGGCUAGCGUUGUUCGGAAUUACUGGGCGUAAAGCGCCCGUAGGCGGCCUUGUAAGUUAGAGGUGAAAGCCCAGGGCUCAACCCUGGAAUUGCCUUUAAGACUGCAUCGCUUGAACACGGGAGAGGUGAGUGGAAUUCCGAGUGUAGAGGUGAAAUUCGUAGAUAUUCGGAAGAACACCAGUGGCGAAGGCGGCUCACUGGACCGUUGUUGACGCUGAGGUGCGAAAGCGUGGGGAGCAAACAGG
Molecule: ribosomal RNA, 253 nt
Filed under: uncultured bacterium
Lineage: Bacteria
Description: partial 16S ribosomal RNA
Rfam family: Bacterial small subunit ribosomal RNA
Source: RNAcentral